Long non-coding RNA from Erinaceus europaeus (western European hedgehog), 1839 nucleotides. RefSeq lists it as uncharacterized. The transcript is spliced from 3 exons. The record is from RefSeq and is a predicted model, not a curated record. Lineage: Eukaryota; Metazoa; Chordata; Mammalia; Eulipotyphla; Erinaceidae.
CAGGAGCAUGAAGAGGACUCAUGCGGCACGGAGAGCAGAUGAACACUGGAGUCAGGCCCACUCCAGGAUGCUCCCAGUCCCAGAGACUCCUAGAGUCCUAAGCAGGAAGGAAUGUCAGAGACCUAUCAGUUCACUUUAAACUGCCAACUCUGUCACCCCAGGAAUAGAAUCCCUGGAUCCGCCUCUGACUCGGCACCCAGCACCCUGCACUGCAAGCAUCCAGACCUCUGAAGCAGCUCCCCCCCCCCGCCUGCCCCCUCCCCCCAGUCAUUUUCUCCUGGAAUCUUCUGACCUCUGAGGUACAAUGUGUGACUAUGACCAUUGUCAACAGGCAGUGACACAAAGCUACUGUCGUCUUUGGCAAAGGACAGCUGAGCAAAUGCUUCACUCGGAAGCCAGUUACAGUUUUUGUGAAAACAAAUUACAUCAGUACUUACUGGAGUCUCCCAACCAGGCUAAAGAGUGGUUUUUUUCAUGAGUGUGUGUGUCAGCUAUGCCCCUGCCUCACAGGGCAUGCUGGGACUCUGCAUAGAGUGAAGUGGCACAGAAGUCUUCAUAUCUCAACACUUUGUCAUGCUAUUGAGUAGAGUCCUUGGAAAACCUGCUUGGCAGGGAGGCAGAUAUUUGGAGAGGCUGCUGCAUGCCAAGCCUUGUACUGUGGUCAGGAAAAUGCAGGAUGUCAACCAAGGCCACAGACUGUCAGGGAAAUAGACGGCCACUGACUUCCAUGGACUACGUGCUGGGCCAGAGAUUUCACUCCUUAUCUCAUAAUUAUAACCUGUGUGUGCUCAGUCACCCUGGACCCAGCUCAAGACCUGCACGUGACAAUUCCAUCUCUGAAGCAGUGGAUUAUAGCUGGGACUGCCUGCACUACGAAUCCACUGCUCCUGGAGGCUAUUUUUCCCCAUUUGUUGCCCUUGUUUAUUGUUGUUGCUUUUAUUGUUGUUGUUAUUGAUGUCGUCAUUGUUGGAUAGGACAGAGAGAACUGGAGAGAGGAGGGGAAGACAGAGAGGGGGAGAGAAAGACAGACACCUGCAGACCUGCUUCACCACUUGUGAAGCGACUUCUCUGCAGGUGGGGAGCCGGGGGCUCGAACUGGCAUCCUUGUGCUGGUCCUUGUGCUUUGUGCCAAUGUGCGCUUAACCUGCUGCGCUACCACACACAGCCGCCCCCACUAGAUCUUAAGACAACACCUCUGUUUUCCUUUCUCCUUUCCCAGUUCUUCUUUUUUCCCUUGAAGCAGUUAUCCCUCUCUCUCCCCACCCCCAUACACAGUUACUCAAAAAAUCUCCACAUUUAUUCUUUCACUUAUCUGACCACGUGCAAGCACCAAAUAUAAAGAAUAUUCUGUGGAGUGUGGGGUGGUGAUGCACCUGGUUAAGCACACAUGUUACAAUGUGAAAGGACCUGGGUUCAAGCCCCUGGUCCCCACCUGCAGAGGGAAAGCUUUGCAAGUGGUAAAGUGCUACAGGUGUCUCUGUCUCUCUCCCUCUCUAUCAUUCCCUUCCCUCUCAAUUUCUGGCUGUCUCUAUCCAGUAAGUAAAUAAAGGCAAAAAAAAUUUAAAAAAAAAAAAAAGAAUAUACGGUCAUUCCUCAAGCAGGAAUAAUAUUGUUCACAUUGUCUCAUCCAUUCAUUUAACCAUUUUUCAAGUGCCCACCACUGUUUCAGGUGCAUAAGACUAGUAGUGAACAUAAUAGACAAAAAUAUAUUUGCCCACAAAGGGCUGGCAGAAGAGCUCACUGGGUAGUGUGCUGCUUUGUCCUAUGUGUGUCUUGAGUUUGAGCCUGGUCCCCAGCACAGUCUCCACCGAUAGUCACUCAUUCUGAGAUAGAUGCAUC